AUUGAACGCUGGCGGAAUGCUUUACACAUGCAAGUCGAACGGCAGCACGGGGGCAACCCUGGUGGCGAGUGGCGAACGGGUGAGUAAUACAUCGGAACGUGCCCAGUCGUGGGGGAUAACGUAGCGAAAGCUACGCUAAUACCGCAUACGAACUCUGGUUGAAAGCGGGGGAUCGCAAGACCUCGCGCGAUUGGAGCGGCCGAUGGCAGAUUAGGUAGUUGGUGGGGUAAAGGCNCACCAAGCCGACGAUCUGUAGCUGGUCUGAGAGGACGACCAGCCACACUGGGACUGAGACACGGCCCAGACUCCUACGGGAGGCAGCAGUGGGGAAUAUUGGACAAUGGGCGCAAGCCUGAUCCAGCAAUGCCGCGUGAGUGAAGAAGGUCUUCGGAUUGUAAAGCUCUUUUCGACGGGGACGAUGAUGACGGUACCCGUAGAAGAAGCCCCGGCUAACUUCGUGCCAGCAGCCGCCGUAAU
RNAcentral lists this ribosomal RNA (477 nucleotides) under uncultured bacterium. RNAcentral's name for it is "bacterial SSU rRNA". It matches the Rfam family "Bacterial small subunit ribosomal RNA", at positions 29 to 524 of the family's 1533-position model. The record is from RNAcentral.